GGAGGGUGCAAGCGUUAUCCGGAUUCACUGGGUUUAAAGGGUGCGUAGGUGGAUUAGUAAGUCAGUGGUGAAAUCUCCGGGCUUAACCCGGAAACUGCCAUUGAUACUAUUAGUCUUGAAUACCGUGGAGGUCAGCGGAAUAUGUCAUGUAGCGGUGAAAUGCUUAGAUAUGACAUAGAACACCAAUUGCGAAGGCAGCUGGCUACACGAGCAUUGACACUCAGGCACGAAAGCGUGGGGAUCAAACAGGAUUAGAUACCCUGGUAGUCCACGCCCUAAACUAUGGAUACUCGACAUACGCGAUACACUGUGUGUGUCUGAGCGAAAGCAUUAAGUAUCCCACCUGGGAAGUACGAUCGCAAGAUUG
Molecule: ribosomal RNA, 367 nt
Filed under: uncultured bacterium
Lineage: Bacteria
Description: bacterial SSU rRNA
Rfam family: Bacterial small subunit ribosomal RNA
Source: RNAcentral